Molecule: ribosomal RNA, 458 nt
Filed under: Harpiliopsis depressa
Lineage: Eukaryota; Metazoa; Arthropoda; Malacostraca; Decapoda; Palaemonidae
Description: partial 16S ribosomal RNA
Rfam family: Bacterial large subunit ribosomal RNA
Source: RNAcentral
AGGGCCGCGGUAUUCUGACCGUGCAAAGGUAGCAUAAUAAGUAGUCUUUUAAUUGGAGACUGGAAUGAAAGGUUGUAUGAGGGACAUGCUGUCUUUUCUUUUCAUUUAGAAUUUAACUUUUCAGUGAAAAGGCUGGGAUUUUUUGGUGGGACGAUAAGACCCUAUAAAACUUUAUAUAUUAAUUUUGGUGUUUAAAUUUAAGUUUAAUUAAGGUUAAUGUGAAUUAUAUUUCGUUGGGGAGAUGUUGAUAAAAAUUGUAACUGUCUUUGUAAUUUAAUAAUUGUAGUUAGAGUAUGAUCCUUUAUUAUGGAUUAAAAGACUAAGUUACUUUAGGGAUAACAGCGUAAUUUUCUCUGAGAGCCCGUAUCGACGAGAAUAGUUGCGACCUCGAUGUUGAAUUAAAAUUUCAGAUUGGUGUAGCCGCUUUUCUGGUAGGUCUGUUCGACCUUUAAAAUUUU